UUCCCUUUUUUUCUCCGCAAAGGAAAAGAAGGGAAUAAUUAUUUCAGAAAAUAAACCACAAGAAAACAAUCAUUAGAACAUAUUUGUUUCAUUUCUUGUAAUUAACUGUACAAAAACCUAUGGAUUGCUUAUCUAACGAUUUACACAUGUUUAGGUCAUGCUAAAGACUAAUUAGAGCUCUUGCAUAUGUUGCAUCCACCACACCCAAAGAAAAGGGAAAACGAAGACUUAAAUUAGAGCUCCAUCUUAAUCUGGGGGCCCUCCCCCUCAUCAACCUCACUUUGUAUAACAUUUUCCUGGACGUUGGAUGAGACGAUACUUCCCCCAUUAUAGCCAUCCAUCAGCAACUUCCCUAUUUUUGAUCUCCAUUCUGAGCUCUCCUUCUCAUUCUUCCUGUCAUGUACAACUCUGUCGCAGUAAUUAAGCAUAGUUCCUAUGCCACUAUUUGGUGUCCAGCCGUACUGCAUUAACACCUGUGCCUCACCUUCAGUUAAGUCUUCUCCAACCAAUAAUGUUUUGUUUUCAAUUAGGGUAAUCCUGCCACAGUUUGUAAGUUUCAUGGCAGUCACCAAUCGCUUGAUCUGCCAAUCAAUGGAUAAGGAGUCAACCAGCUCAAAGAAAUAGGUUGCGUAGCCAUACUCAGGACGUUCCAGCACUAUUCUUCUAUGCCUUUCAAAGACAAAUAU
RNAcentral lists this unclassified non-coding RNA (686 nucleotides) under Hevea brasiliensis (rubber tree). The record is from RNAcentral. Lineage: Eukaryota; Viridiplantae; Streptophyta; Magnoliopsida; Malpighiales; Euphorbiaceae.